This 253-nucleotide ribosomal RNA is filed under the name uncultured bacterium. RNAcentral describes it as "partial 16S ribosomal RNA". It matches the Rfam family "Bacterial small subunit ribosomal RNA", at positions 524 to 776 of the family's 1533-position model. The record is from RNAcentral.
UACGGAGGGGACUAGCGUUGUUCGGAAUUACUGGGCGUAAAGCGCACGUAGGCGGAUUUGUAAGUCAGGGGUGAAAUCCCGAGGCUCAACCUCGGAACUGCCUUCGAUACUGCGGGUCUCGAGUCCGGGAGAGGUGAGUGGAAUUCCUAGUGUAGAGGUGAAAUUCGUAGAUAUUAGGAAGAACACCAGUGGCGAAGGCGGCUCACUGGCCCGGUACUGACGCUGAGGCGCGAAAGCGUGGGGAGCAAACAGG